Molecule: ribosomal RNA, 1341 nt
Filed under: uncultured bacterium
Lineage: Bacteria
Description: 16S ribosomal RNA
Rfam family: Bacterial small subunit ribosomal RNA
Source: RNAcentral
GACGAACGCUGGCGGCGUGCUUAACACAUGCAAGUCGAACGGUAAGGCUCCAGCUUGCUGGGGUACACAAGUGGCGAACGGGUGAGUAACACGUGGGUGACCUGCCCUGCACUUCGGGAUAAGCCUGGGAAACUGGGUCUAAUACCGGAUAGGACCGCACCGUGAGGGUGUGGUGGAAAGUUUUUUCGGUGUGGGAUGGGCCCGCGGCCUAUCAGCUUGUUGGUGGGGUAAUGGCCUACCAAGGCGGCGACGGGUAGCCGGCCUGAGAGGGUGGACGGCCACAUUGGGACUGAGACACGGCCCAGACUCCUACGGGAGGCAGCAGUGGGGAAUAUUGCACAAUGGGCGGAAGCCUGAUGCAGCGACGCCGCGUGGGGGAUGACGGCCUUCGGGUUGUAAACUCCUUUCACCAUCGACGAAGGGUUUCUGACGGUAGAUGGAGAAGAAGCACCGGCUAACUACGUGCCAGCAGCCGCGGUAAUACGUAGGGUGCGAGCGUUGUCCGGAAUUACUGGGCGUAAAGAGCUCGUAGGUGGUUUGUCGCGUCGUCUGUGAAAUUCCGGGGCUUAACUCCGGGCGUGCAGGCGAUACGGGCAUAACUUGAGUACUGUAGGGGAGACUGGAAUUCCUGGUGUAGCGGUGAAAUGCGCAGAUAUCAGGAGGAACACCGGUGGCGAAGGCGGGUCUCUGGGCAGUAACUGACGCUGAGGAGCGAAAGCAUGGGGAGCGAACAGGAUUAGAUACCCUGGUAGUCCAUGCCGUAAACGGUGGGCGCUAGGUGUGGGUUUCCUUCCACGGGAUCCGUGCCGUAGCUAACGCAUUAAGCGCCCCGCCUGGGGAGUACGGCCGCAAGGCUAAAACUCAAAGGAAUUGACGGGGGCCCACACAAGCGGCGGAGCAUGUGGAUUAAUUCGAUGCAACGCGAAGAACCUUACCUGGGCUUGACAUAUACAGGAUCGCGCCAGAGAUGGUGUUUCCCUUGUGGCUUGUAUACAGGUGGUGCAUGGUUGUCGUCAGCUCGUGUCGUGAGAUGUUGGGUUAAGUCCCGCAACGAGCGCAACCCUUGUCUUAUGUUGCCAGCACGUUGUGGUGGGGACUCGUAAGAAACUGCCGGGGUUAACUCGGAGGAAGGUGGGGAUGACGUCAAAUCAUCAUGCCCCUUAUGUCCAGGGCUUCACACAUGCUACAAUGGUCGGUACAGUGGGUUGCCAGUCCGUGAGGGCGAGCUAAUCCCGCAAAGCCGGUCUCAGUUCGGAUCGGGGUCUGCAACUCGACCCCGUGAAGUCGGAGUCGCUAGUAAUCGCAGAUCAGCAACGUUGCGGUGAAUACGUUCCCGGGCCU